Molecule: long non-coding RNA, 2521 nt
Organism: Lagopus muta (rock ptarmigan)
Lineage: Eukaryota; Metazoa; Chordata; Aves; Galliformes; Phasianidae
Exons: 3
Source: RefSeq, a predicted model, not a curated record
UCACUUUCCAGAACCGGUGUUUGUUUGCUUGUUUGUUUUUGUUUGUUUGUUUUUAGCCAGAAAGGCACAUGACGAGAAAACCCGGUCCUUUGCUUCGCUUUCUCAUGGCUGGAGAUGCGGGCAGCUCCCGAAAGGCAACGGAGGAACCCAUGUGAAGAAGCGGAGCGACUUCGGCUUCGCUCAGCUCCGCAGCCCCCGGUGCUGGUUGUUUUCCGCGUGCAUCUGUCUCAGAGCAGAAAAAUCACAUCCAUAUGUCAAAGCCGCUCUCUUCUGUUUCCUUUUUAUGAGGCAGUGGGAAGUUCAAAUAAUUUCUUUGUCAAACGCAAACACACAGAAAGAGGCAGAGAGGGAGGGAGGGAGGGAGAAAGGCGAGAGAGGGGUGGAAGGGGUGGGAGAUCGGAGAGGGUGGGGGAAGCUUUAAACCACGGCUUUAUUUUUAGAUCCAGUAAUUUUAUCUUUUGGGUUUCGGAGGGGUUUGGAAAGAGAGAGAAAAAAAAAAAACACCUUUUUUUUUCUUCUUCUUUUUCUUCUCUUUCGGCCACACGAGCCGCUCUCAGAGCAGAAAGUUACGGGAGAAAAAAAAAUAGCGAAAACUUGGCAAUAUUUUCCCUCCUCAAUUACCUUUUCGCAAACAGCGGUGCUCUGGGUUUUUUUUUUUUUCUUUUUUUUUUUUCUUUUUUUUUUUUUGUUUUUUGCUGGUGUAUCGCCGCGCGUUUUGCCUCCACAAUCGGUUUAUUCUCCAGCCCUCCGGGUCGCAGUGUGUUUCAGUUACUAAUCGGGAUUUUUUCGCUCCUCUCUCCCCUCUCUGCCUCAGAGGAUCUGCAGUUUCAAAAAGCCGAUUGAGCACGGCGUGAGGCUGACGACCGGGGGGGGCUCCCACCGCCACUAGAGCAGUCCUCGUUCCGUGCCCCGCAAGGAGGAGCCCCAGUGGAACCCACAGCGCAUCGCAUCCCCGCUUUCCCCCCCGUAUCCCCAGCAUCUCGCACUCCCCGUGGAUGUCACCAGCAUCGCUGUUUCAGGGCUGGGGAUGGUACUCCCAGCUCAGCCGGGCACUUUCAUUCAUAAAAAUGCAAGAUUGCAUCCAUGAAUGUGUGCAUAAUGAACCCAGAAGGAAUGCGGCACUAAAAGAAGCCUUUGUAAUGUUGCUAUUUUAAGGAGACCCUUGGGUAUGGCACGUGUUGAACUGAGUUUCUCUAACAUCUUACAACAAACCAAAAUGUUUAGAUCCUCCCACUGAUGUAAAACAUCAUAAAAAAAAUACAUAAUCAAUCUAAACUGGCUAUGGUUUUGAGCAGGAAUUAUUGCUCUUGUGAAUUGGCUCUGUAUUGUAGCUAACUUUUACAUGGCCUAAUAAUAAACAUCUCCUCCUCCCAGCUGGAUGAAUGUUUCCCUUCUGGUGGAGAUGAGAUCCCAGCCUGGAUAAAACACCUCUUGUCCUUUCUCUUCUGGGUCACUCAGGUUCAGUGAAACAUCACGACUUACAUCAGCCAAAGCCUUUGAUCAGGGGAGGGAAAGGUCUGACAUGGAUGGGGUUGACAGCCACGCUGCAAAAAUCCCUCAUUGUGCAAGAAGCCAGUCCAAUGACCGAGUGUCACCAAGGGUGAGACAGCCUUUUCUGCUCUGUUUUCACUUGGCUAUUGCUGGUGUUUUGUUUGCAAAGUCAAGGCCAAAAUAUACAAGCAGCAGCUUUGGACACGUUGCGUUUGUGCAUUUAGCCAGAUAGCCAUGAUGAAUUUCUGGCCAUUUUUGUUGCAUGUGUUGUAAAGAGCAGAAUUUUGCUGUCAACGUUCUAUUUUUACAUGGUCAGAGAGGAGAAGCAGUAGAAUAGAGGUGUAAUUGACACUGUUUGUACAAAGCUGAAGUCGUAACUCUUGGCUGAGAUGACUGGAAGCGGUGUGUGAUGGCUUCUUUGUUGGCUCUUUAAGAAAACAUCUGCUCUGGGUCUCGUGGACAAAACCCAGGGUGAAAAAUUCUCAUACUGCAAACUGAGAAGCCAGAUGAAAACCCCAGAGAAGCUGUGGAUGCUCCACCUCUGGAGGUGCUCAAGGCCAGGUUGGAUGGGGCCCUGGGUUGCCUGAUCUGGUGGGUGGUAAACCUGCUCAUAGCCCAGGGUUAGGACUGGAUGACCUUUGAGGAUGUUUUCAGCCUAAGCUGUUCUAUGAUUCAAUGGCUUUCUCCAUUAGCAUCCAGCACUCAAGGAACAGGGCUGCUUUGGAAAUGAAUGUCAGAAUAAGGAAAAUAGGCUUUUUGUACUCACAAAAAAACAAAUGCUCAAGAAGAGUGAGGGUGAGAGUCAAAGCUAUUAAAACACUUCCUGGGACAGUAUUUUGGUUUUCAGCAGCUUUCUCUUCUGUUUUGUUUCAAUUUCUUCUAAACCCCAUCCUCCGAGUGGUAUGAAAUAAAAAAUAGUAAUAAAUAGAUUUUUCUGUACAGGAAAAAUUCAAAAAUAAAUAAAUGAAUAAAAUUUUAAUUACAUUUCUCUGCAAAGGCUCUUUACUUCUUUAAGUACACAGAAAUGCUU